This 446-nucleotide ribosomal RNA is filed under the name uncultured bacterium. RNAcentral's name for it is "partial 16S ribosomal RNA". It matches the Rfam family "Bacterial small subunit ribosomal RNA", at positions 338 to 795 of the family's 1533-position model. The record is from RNAcentral.
CCUACGGGGGGCUGCAGUCGAGAAUCAUUCACAAUGGGGGAAACCCUGAUGGUGCGACGCCGCGUGGGGGAAUGAAGGUCUUCGGAUUGUAAACCCCUGUCAUGUGGGAGCAAAUUAAAAAGAUAGUACCACAAGAGGAAGAGACGGCUAACUCUGUGCCAGCAGCCGCGGUAAUACAGAGGUCUCAAGCGUUGUUCGGAAUCACUGGGCGUAAAGCGUGCGUAGGCUGUUUCGUAAGUCGUGUGUGAAAGGUGCGGGCUCAACCCGCGGACGGCACAUGAUACUGCGAUACUAGAGUAAUGGAGGGGGAACCGGAAUGCUCGGUGUAGCAGUGAAAUGCGUAGAUAUCGAGAGGAACACUCGUGGCGAAGGCGGGUUCCUGGACAUUAACUGACGCUGAGGCACGAAGGCCAGGGGAGCGAAAGGGAUUAGAUACCCCUGUAGUC